GGGGCAUUAGCUCAGCUGGGAGAGCACUUGCAUGGCAUGCAAGGGGUCAUCGGUUCAAGUCCGAUAUGCUCCA
This 73-nucleotide transfer RNA is filed under the name Candidatus Poribacteria bacterium. Its description in RNAcentral is "tRNA-Ala". It matches the Rfam family "tRNA". Rfam says of the family: Transfer RNA (tRNA) molecules are approximately 80 nucleotides in length. Their secondary structure includes four short double-helical elements and three loops (D, anti-codon, and T loops). The record is from RNAcentral. Lineage: Bacteria; Candidatus Poribacteria.